RNAcentral lists this ribosomal RNA (449 nucleotides) under uncultured bacterium. Its description in RNAcentral is "bacterial SSU rRNA". It matches the Rfam family "Bacterial small subunit ribosomal RNA", at positions 64 to 507 of the family's 1533-position model. The record is from RNAcentral.
GAGCGGUAACGCGGGAGCAAUCCUGGCGACGAGCGGCGAACGGGUGAGUAAUGCUUCGGAAUCUACCCAGUAGUGGGGAAUAACCAACCGAAAGGUUGGCUAAUGCCGCAUACGACCUACGGGUGAAAGCAGGGGAUCGUAAGACCUUGCGCUAUUGGAUGAGCCGAAGUCGGAUUAGCUAGUUGGUAGGGUAACGGCCUACCAAGGCGACAAUCCGUAGCUGGUCUGAGAGGACGACCAGCCACACUGGGACUGAGACACGGCCCAGACUCCUACGGGAGGCAGCAGUGGGGAAUAUUGGACAAUGGGGGCAACCCUGAUCCAGCGACGCCGCGUGUGUGAAGAAGGCCUGCGGGUUGUAAAGCACUUUUAGUGGGGAUGAAAAGCUCANGGGCUAAUACCUCUGGGUCUUGACCUAACCCACAGAAAAAGCACCGGCUAACUCUGUG